Molecule: long non-coding RNA, 275 nt
Organism: Tyto alba (common barn owl)
Lineage: Eukaryota; Metazoa; Chordata; Aves; Strigiformes; Tytonidae
Exons: 2
Source: RefSeq, a predicted model, not a curated record
GUCAGAUUCCAGGCAGAGAUGAGGAAUAUCUGUUCUGAGGUGGGCAGCAAAGCUGGCAAACUAAGGCGAAAGGUGAACCUCCCAUACCGUUAGUGAUGAGAAGAUGCUAGAGAAGAGGAAGUUCCAGUGCCAGAAAACAGAGUGCUCACAGGAAGAUGAAGGAAGCCUGGAAAACUUUGCCUUCCACCAUGUGCAGCCAUGACCCUGCAUCUAAUUCCAAGUGUUCUGUUGCAGCUUAGUAUUUAAUAAACUGUGUUUUAGUCUGUUUUGCUGCA